This 365-nucleotide long non-coding RNA is filed under the name Nicotiana benthamiana. Its description in RNAcentral is "long non-coding RNA (NBEN_LNC036803)". Lineage: Eukaryota; Viridiplantae; Streptophyta; Magnoliopsida; Solanales; Solanaceae. The record is from RNAcentral.
CCAAACGGGCUCUAAGGCAGCAGUAUCACCAGAUCACUAGCUUACCAAACACAACAUGGCUCGCGUACUCUCAGAAUAGAAAGUUGUGCUAGCAAUCAAAUUAUUUGUAUUUGGAUCCUGCAUAAGAAAUCAAGAAUUGCAACAUAAUGUUAAUUUGAAGGUAAAAAAUCUUGAAGAGAACAAGCCAAAAUAGACGAAAGAUCAGAAACUCACAAGUCCUGGACACACCAGAGAGUUGCAACAUAAUGUUAAUGUGAAGGUAAAAAUUCCUGAAGGGAACAAGCCAAAAUAGACGAAAGAUCAGAAACUCACAAGUCCUGGACACACCAUCAACCGGAGACUGUUGAACAAGUCUGCCAUUUCAA